Molecule: ribosomal RNA, 537 nt
Filed under: Triticum aestivum (bread wheat)
Lineage: Eukaryota; Viridiplantae; Streptophyta; Magnoliopsida; Poales; Poaceae
Description: partial small subunit ribosomal RNA
Source: RNAcentral
AUGUGGCUCUCUUCUAUCUUCUUGUUCUUGUCAGAACCUUGUUCUUUUCAUGAUUAUCCAUUUAAUCGGAGUGUUGUGACCUUUUUGCUCAAGUUCUUUUCGCCUUAUCAAGCCUUGCAUCUCUUUUCAAUCGGAGUGCUGUCUGAGAUCUUUCUUACCCCUUGUUCUAUUCAUUCAAUAGUUCCGGAGGCAGUGGGUUGUGAUUUCAUCAAGUAUCCUCUCAUCUUAUCAAGUUCUUAUUCAAUUCCUUUUACUUUCAGUCGGAGUGUUGUCCAAAUUAUAUCAUUUUUAAUCCUUCUCUAUCUUGUUUUAACCAGAGUGGUUUCAAUAUAUAUAUUGCCCUUCAACCUCAUGGUUUUUCGCAAUGUUCUUUGUUUCUCUUUUCUAACAGAGUGUUUUCGACUUUGUUCACCUUCGUUGUUUUGUUUCUCAAAUUUGUUCAACCUCGCAAGGUUCUUUGGUUUCACUCAUUCGUCAAAGAAGCAACUUAGUUUUACCUCUUCUCUUCCUUUUCCAUUUCCCCCGGUGCCAUUCUAG